AACGCGAAGAACCUUACCUGGGUUCGAAAUGCAGUUGUAAGCCUCAGAGAUGAGGUCCCCUCUUCGGAGGCAGCUGUAUAGGUGCUGCAUGGCUGUCGUCAGCUCGUGUCGUGAGAUGUUGGGUUAAGUCCCGCAACGAGCGCAACCCUUGUCCAUAGUUGCUAACGCGUAGUGGCGAGAACUCUAUGGAGACUGCCGGUGAUAAACCGGAGGAAGGUGGGAUGACGUCAAGUCCUCAUGGCCUUUAUGUCCAGGGCUACACACGUGCUACAAUGGACGGUACAAAGAGUCGCGAUCCCGCGAGGGGGAGCUAAUCUCAAAAAGCCGUUCUCAGUUCGGAUUGUUCUCUGCAACUCGCCUGCAUGAAGCUGGAAUCGCUAGUAAUGCUAUAUCAGAACGAUAGCGUGAAUACGUUCCCGGGCCUUGUACACACCGAGUAUA
Molecule: ribosomal RNA, 441 nt
Filed under: uncultured bacterium
Lineage: Bacteria
Description: bacterial SSU rRNA
Rfam family: Bacterial small subunit ribosomal RNA
Source: RNAcentral